This 421-nucleotide ribosomal RNA is filed under the name uncultured bacterium. RNAcentral describes it as "bacterial SSU rRNA". It matches the Rfam family "Bacterial small subunit ribosomal RNA", at positions 355 to 776 of the family's 1533-position model. The record is from RNAcentral.
UGGGGAAUCUUGCGCAAUGGGCGAAAGCCUGACGCAGCGACGCCGCGUGGGGGAUGACGGGUUUCGGCUUGUAAACCCCUGUUGCCCGGGACGAACUUCCUGAUUCGUCAGGAUUGACGGUACCGGGUGAGGAAGCACCGGCUAACUCCGUGCCAGCAGCCGCGGUAAUACGGAGGGUGCGAGCGUUGUCCGGAAUCACUGGGCGUAAAGGGCGCGUAGGUGGCGACCCAAGUCAACGGUGAAAGCUCGGCGCUCAACGCCGGGUCGGCCGUCGAGACUGGGUGGCUGGAGCACUGUAGAGGCAGAUGGAAUUCCGGGUGUAGCGGUGGAAUGCGUAGAGAUCCGGAAGAACACCGGUGGCGAAGGCGGUCUGCUGGGCAGUUGCUGACACUGAGGCGCGACAGCGUGGGGAGCAAACAGG